RNAcentral lists this ribosomal RNA (264 nucleotides) under uncultured bacterium. RNAcentral's name for it is "partial 16S ribosomal RNA". It matches the Rfam family "Bacterial small subunit ribosomal RNA", at positions 67 to 334 of the family's 1533-position model. The record is from RNAcentral.
CGGCACCUAUCUUCGGAUAGAAGCGAGUGGCGAACGGCUGAGUAACACGUGGAGGACCUGCCCCCUCCCCCGGGAUAGCCGCCCGAAAGGACGGGUAAUACCGGAUACCCCGGGGUGCCGCAUGGCACCCCGGCUAAAGCCCCGACGGGAGGGGAUGGCUCCGCGGCCCAUCAGGUAGACGGCGGGGUGACGGCCCACCGUGCCGACAACGGGUAGCCGGGUUGAGAGACCGACCGGCCAGAUUGGGACUGAGACACGGCCCAG